This 481-nucleotide ribosomal RNA is filed under the name uncultured bacterium. Its description in RNAcentral is "partial 16S ribosomal RNA". It matches the Rfam family "Bacterial small subunit ribosomal RNA", at positions 28 to 507 of the family's 1533-position model. The record is from RNAcentral.
GAUGAACGCUGGCGGCGUGCUUAACACAUGCAAGUCGAACGAAGCACUUUAUUUGAUUUCCUUCGGGGAUGAUUAUUUUGUGACUGAGUGGCGGACGGGUGAGUAACCCGUGGGUAACCUGCCUUGUACAGGGGGAUAACAGUUGGAAACGGCUGCUAAUACAGCAUAAGCGCACAGCGUCGCAUGAUGCAGUGUGCAAAACGCCGGUGGUAUAAGAUGGACCCGCGUUGGAUUAGCUAGUUGGUGAGGUAACGGCCCACCAAGGCGACGAUCCAUAGCCGACCUGAUAGGGUGACCGGCCACACUGGGACUGAGACACGGCCCAAACUCCUACGGGAGGCAGCAGUAGGGAAUAUUGCACAAUGGGCGAAAGCCUGAUGCAGCGACGCCGCGUGAGCGAAGAAGUAUUUCGGUAUGUAAAGCUCUAUCAGCAGGGAAGAUAAUGACGUUACCUGACGAAGAAGCACCGGCUAACUACGUG